AGGGCCAUAGCUCAGUGGUAGAGCGUCUGAAUUGUAUGCAGAAGGUUGUGGGUUCAAUCCCCAACAUCUCUA
Non-coding RNA from Podarcis lilfordi (Lilford's wall lizard), 72 nucleotides. Lineage: Eukaryota; Metazoa; Chordata; Lepidosauria; Squamata; Lacertidae. The record is from the annotation of a GenBank genome assembly.